RNAcentral lists this ribosomal RNA (253 nucleotides) under uncultured bacterium. RNAcentral's name for it is "partial 16S ribosomal RNA". It matches the Rfam family "Bacterial small subunit ribosomal RNA", at positions 524 to 776 of the family's 1533-position model. The record is from RNAcentral.
UACGUAGGGUGCGAGCGUUGUCCGGAAUUACUGGGCGUAAAGAGCGCGCAGGCGGUCGUUCAAGUCGCGUGUGAAAGCCCCCGGCUCAACUGGGGAGGGUCACGCGAUACUGAUCGACUCGAAGGCAGGAGAGGGUAGUGGAAUUCCUGGUGUAGCGGUGGAAUGCGCAGAUAUCAGGAGGAACACCGGUGGCGAAGGCGGGUCUCUGGGCAGUAACUGACGCUGAGGAGCGAAAGCGUGGGGAGCGAACAGG